AUACAGAGGCCCCAAGCAUUAUCCGGAUUCACUGGGCGUAAAGGGUACGUAGGCGGUGUUAUUAGUCGGGUGUUAAAUCCUGGGGCUCAACCCCAGACUCGCAUUCGAAACGGUAACACUAGAAGAAGUAAGAGGUGAGCAGAACUCUCGGUGUAGGGGUGAAAUCCGUUGAUAUCGAGGGGAAUACCAAAUGCGAAGGCAGCUCACUGGUACUUUCUUGACGCUGAGGUACGAAAGCGUGGGUAGCGAACGGGAUUAGAAACCCCGGUAGUCC
RNAcentral lists this ribosomal RNA (274 nucleotides) under uncultured bacterium. RNAcentral's name for it is "partial 16S ribosomal RNA". It matches the Rfam family "Bacterial small subunit ribosomal RNA", at positions 523 to 796 of the family's 1533-position model. The record is from RNAcentral.